This 500-nucleotide ribosomal RNA is filed under the name uncultured bacterium. RNAcentral describes it as "bacterial SSU rRNA". It matches the Rfam family "Bacterial small subunit ribosomal RNA", at positions 1007 to 1504 of the family's 1533-position model. The record is from RNAcentral.
UGUGGGCGUGCCCGAAAGGGAACCUAGACACAGGUGCUGCAUGGCUGUCGCCAGCUCGUGUCGUGAGAUGUUGGGUUAAGUCCCGCAACGAGCGCAACCCUUGCCAUUAGUUGCUACAUUCAGUUGGGCACUCUAAUGGGACCGCCGGUGACAAACCGGAGGAAGGUGGGGAUGACGUCAAGUCCUCAUGGCCCUUAUGGGUAGGGCUUCACACGUAAUACAAUGGUCGGUACAGAGGGCUGCCAACCCGCAAGGGGGAGCUAAUCCCAGAAAGCCGAUCGUAGUCCGGAUUGUAGUCUGCAACUCGACUGCAUGAAGCCGGAAUCGCUAGUAAUCGCGGAUCAGCAUGUCGCGGUGAAUACGUUCCCGGGUCUUGUACACACCGCCCGUCACACCAUGGGAGUGGGUUCCACCAGAAGUAGUUAGCCUAACCGCAGGGAGGGCGAUUACCACGGUGAGAUUCAUGACUGGGGUGAAGUCGUCGUAACAAGGUAGCCGUA